CUCGAGGCCAGAUCUUUCCGGUUGAUCCUGCCGGACCUGACUGCUAUCGGAUUGAUACUAAGCCAUGCGAGUCUUUGUAGCAAUACAAGGCAGACGGCUCAGUAACACGUAGUCAAUCUACCCUAUGGACGGGGAUAACCUCGGGAAACUGAGAAUAAUACCCGAUAGAUCAUUAUGCCUGGAAUGGUUUAUGGUCGAAAUGGUUUAUCGCCGUAGGAUGGGACUGCGGUCUAUCAGCUUGUUGGUGAGGUAAUGGCCCACCAAGGCUAUAACAGAUACGGGCUCUGAGAGGAGAAGCCCGGAGAUGGGUACUGAGACACGGACCCAGGCCCUAUGGGGCGCAGCAGGCGAGAAAACUUUGCAAUGUGCGAAAGCACGACAAGGUUAAUCCGAGUGUUUUCUGCUAAAGAAAUCUUUUGUCAGUCCUAAAAACACUGAUGAAUAAGGGGUGGGCAAGUUCUGGUGUCAGCCGCCGCGGUAAAACCAGCACCUCAAGUGGUCAGGAGGAUUAUUGGGCCUAAAGCAUCCGUGGCCGGCCGUGUAAGUUUUCGGUUAAA
Molecule: ribosomal RNA, 557 nt
Filed under: uncultured archaeon
Lineage: Archaea
Description: bacterial SSU rRNA
Rfam family: Archaeal small subunit ribosomal RNA
Source: RNAcentral